This 230-nucleotide ribosomal RNA is filed under the name uncultured Pseudomonas sp. Its description in RNAcentral is "partial 16S ribosomal RNA". It matches the Rfam family "Bacterial small subunit ribosomal RNA", at positions 1154 to 1382 of the family's 1533-position model. The record is from RNAcentral. Lineage: Bacteria; Pseudomonadati; Pseudomonadota; Gammaproteobacteria; Pseudomonadales; Pseudomonadaceae.
GGUGACAAACCGGAGGAAGGUGGGGAUGACGUCAAGUCAUCAUGGCCCUUACGGCCUGGGCUACACACGUGCUACAAUGGUCGGUACAAAGGGGUUGCCAAGCCGCGAGGUGGAGCUAAUCCCAUAAAACCGAUCGUAGUCCGGAUCGCAGUCUGCAACUCGACUGCGUGAAGUCGGAAUCGCUAGUAAUCGUGAAUCAGAAUGUCACGGUGAAUACGUUCCCGGGCCUU